GGUGCCAUAGCUCAGUUGGGAGAGCAAAGGACUGAAAAUCCUUGUGUCCCCGGUUCGAUUCCUGGUGGCACCA
RNAcentral lists this transfer RNA (73 nucleotides) under Paludibacteraceae bacterium. Its description in RNAcentral is "tRNA-Phe". It matches the Rfam family "tRNA". From Rfam's summary of the family: Transfer RNA (tRNA) molecules are approximately 80 nucleotides in length. Their secondary structure includes four short double-helical elements and three loops (D, anti-codon, and T loops). Further hydrogen bonds mediate the characteristic L-shaped molecular structure. tRNAs have two regions of fundamental functional importance: the anti-codon, which is responsible for specific mRNA codon recognition, and the 3' end, to which the tRNAs corresponding amino acid is attached (by aminoacyl-tRNA synthetases). tRNAs cope with the degeneracy of the genetic code in two manners: having more than one tRNA (with a specific anti-codon) for a particular amino acid; and 'wobble' base-pairing, i.e. permitting non-standard base-pairing at the 3rd anti-codon position. The record is from RNAcentral. Lineage: Bacteria; Pseudomonadati; Bacteroidota; Bacteroidia; Bacteroidales; Paludibacteraceae.